Long non-coding RNA from Orbicella faveolata, 180 nucleotides. The record is from RefSeq and is a predicted model, not a curated record. NCBI's taxonomy places the organism in Eukaryota, Metazoa, Cnidaria, Anthozoa, Scleractinia, Merulinidae.
CGAAAUAUGGCGGGCGUUUGCAAGAAUGAAACACAUCAAACUGAAGUGAACAUACAUUUUUAAGACAGGACAUGAUGAUAUCAACAUGGAAACUAUGAUUGGUGGAUACAAACCAGAAAGGUGUGUGCUGAGAUUAUGUGGAGAAAGAUUCAUAUUGAGGCAAUGGAUUCUACAUCUGGU